UACGGAGGGUGCGAGCGUUGUUCGGAAUUAUUGGGCGUAAAGCGCACGUAGGCGGCCCGUUAAGUCUCUUGGUGAAAGGCCGGGGCUCAACCCCGAGCAUGCCGGGGAUACUGGGGGGCUGGAGACAGGCAGAGGCCAGCGGAAUUCCGGGUGUAGCGGUGGAAUGCGUAGAGAUCCGGAAGAACACCGGAGGCGAAGGCGGCUGGCUGGGCCUGAUCUGACGCUGAGGUGCGAAAGCGUGGGGAGCGAACAGGAUUAGAAACCCCCGUAGUCC
Molecule: ribosomal RNA, 274 nt
Filed under: uncultured bacterium
Lineage: Bacteria
Description: partial 16S ribosomal RNA
Rfam family: Bacterial small subunit ribosomal RNA
Source: RNAcentral